Homo sapiens (human) is the source of this 2846-nucleotide long non-coding RNA. RefSeq lists it as uncharacterized. Lineage: Eukaryota; Metazoa; Chordata; Mammalia; Primates; Hominidae. The transcript has 3 exons. The record is from RefSeq and is a predicted model, not a curated record.
AGAAGCACUUGGCCACUGACAGAAAGAGUGAAUUCCUGUGACUGUGCUGGGAGACUAAAAGCAAGGUAGAGACAACACAUCUGUGCUGACCAUCUGCAGGCGGAAUAGGAUUUGGUGAGAACAGGUCUGGAAAACAAGGAUGCUAAUUCUCACCAGGUUGGAGAGGAAAGACUGCCAGAGUGAAUGUAAACCACACAUAUAUUCGUGACUACAUGCAAGCCUGCUGAAAUCACAGGUGAGUACUUCUUAUUUAAUGCUCUCCAGUAUCAUUUACUGACCUUCAUGUGGCCUUAAACACUAGACGAUUAACAUGUAUGAGAUCUCCUUUCCUUUCUCCUUAUAUCCUCUCCAUUUCCUUCCCUAAUUUUUUUUCAGAACUCCAACUUCCACACUUCAAAUUUCUUUCUUAAAAGUGAAAAACAAAACAAAAGCACAUAUUUAUGGAAAUGAGUACUAUGCUCAUUGUGCUUGCCUUCUUAGAAGUUCAAUUCAAUUGAAACAAAAGAACCAAAAAUUAUAUGGUGAGGAAAAUAAAUGCUACCUUGCUCCAUCAUACCACAGAAAGAAUGUAACCCAUAACCAGAGUAAAACGAUGGACGAAAAAUAAGAUAAAUAAAGAAGUUUGAUUUGAGCGAAUUUCUUCUCUUGGCCAUCUAAGCCCCUCCACUCCAUCUUUUCUUCGGGCAGAUAUCCUAGAGCUAAGCCUGGUGGAUGUCUCAAGUAACCACGAGACAUACACUGAGCAGGGCAGAGUGCUGCCAUCUCCCACGCAGGACAGAUAAGCAGAGCGAGUUCUGACAGGUAGUUAUGGCGUGGGUGUCGGGACAUGGGAACCAGGUGGAAUGAUUUUCCUUUCUUCAUACCAAAUACCAAAGUGUGCCAAGGUCCAGAAAUUUGGAUGCCAGACUCUUAGUAAAAGAUGAACAAGAAGCAGGCUAGCAUAGAAAUCUUAUCUGUUCUCUUAUAAGCCUAGCCAAUAAAUUCACACUCUUUCCCCUAAUUUCCUACCUAUUUAAGAAAAUAUGUUACACAAGCACUCAACUUAAACUGACUAGUAGAACACAAUGGGAUUCUUCUCUUAUGAUCUAAUUCUAAGAUUCCCUUGGUUGUUCUCAUUCUGCCCCUUCCUGGCAAGUAAUGCUAGGCAACUUUUUAAUUUAUUUGAGACACAGCCAAGUUACCCCAUAUGCAAAAUAAACCCCAUUUCAACAGGGUCAUUGAGGAAACUGAGUGAGAAAAUAUGUGUAAAAUAGAUUCUGCAGCACCCCACAUGGUAGGUAGGUGCUCACAGAACAGCAGCUUCAUUUACUGUACGCAUUUUAAAAACCAAAGUUCAGUAUCCAAAUUUUUCUAGGACUUUAUGUUCAUACUGGUCUUACUUUAGGUAACAGAUGCAAACCACCCCCUAUCCCCUGCUACCACCCACUGCAAAUGUGCUGUCUGUGCAAUCAUGUUUUCCACUAAAAUUUCUUCUGGAAAUAUAAGUUAUACAAUCAUAGCCACAUAGUCAACCCAUGGGACACUUCAGCUUUGUUAAUGAGCAGUCUACUUAAAAUUUAACUAUCGUAUAUAAUCCUGGUAAUAGGUUUUCAAAUGACCAAGCCAUGUGAUCAUUAGACACUCCUUUCUUUAACUAUUUUUCCUAAUUAAGUGCAGAAUCUUUCUCCACUUAAUUCUUCCCAUGGUUGCAAAUUUUGAUUAUAUCAGGAGACAUAUUUGGUUAAAUACUCUCAGCUCCCACAGGAAUGCGUCGAUAUUGAUGAGCACUCUGAGGGGGCCUUCACUGAAUGAGAAAUUAUGCUCCCAAGACAGCGACUCUGAUCCCUUAACUUUAUCCCAUCACCUUCAUUUCAGGAGUAAAACUGUUUCAUAAAAGUAGAGAAAUUUAAGGGAAUAAGUAUAAACCAAAAAGUAUAAUAUCACCAAUUCUAUUUUCACGAGGACUUAAUGUUUAAACAGUUGUAUCUAUUACGCUGUUAUCACAGAUACAGGUAUUUCAAUCAUUAGCUCAUGAGCAUACAAGUCUUUGCCACCAGUUUUAGUCCCUGCCACUACUUGUCCACAUGUGUUGUGUCUGCUACAUUCAUUCAUUCACUCACUCAUUCAUGAUGAUCCUGGCCCUCAAGGAACCUGCAGCCUAUUUGGGGAGAGAGGUAAAUAAGGCAAUGAUUACCAAGAGCUAUGCCAAGGCUCUUGGCACUAUUGUGAUGUGAUACCCAAGCCCAGCUCUUGACUAACAACUGCAAAAGAGCCACCACGGGGAAGUGGGAGGAAGCAGUAAACUCCUUCCGGAAUUUAACAGGAAAAGGUUUUCUGAGAAAUCUAUGCACAUUCAAUCUACAUUUAAAAAAUAUUUAAUAGUGUUUAGAGGUCCUUGGAAGAACAAUGAAUAAAUAUUUUUGUCAAAGGAAGAUUUAAUGGGAAAACAUGUAACUUCCAUUCGAACUUCACUGGACUCUGAUUAAAGUAGCCCAGCCAAUGUAACCCAUGCAGAAAAAUGUCCCAAAGGAAUGGUUAUAAUAUAGCUUUCUGAUAAUGUUUGGUUUUAAAUACUUAAUCUAUGUCUGUAAAAACAUAUGCUUGUGAUUUAUUUGCUUCACUUAUUUUUCAUGUAUGUGUGAUAUCAAAUAGGUUCCCAGACAUAAAUGCUCCGUUACCGCAAAUCUGAGCUGUGGUUGUUACGCAUUCACUGUUCAGGUUUUAAGUACCUGGUGAGCAACUGUAGGCUAGGCAUUCUAUCAGAUUCUAGAAAGGCAUUAAUGAAUACGGACAUAAUGAAUGAUCACAAAAAUGCUAAUUACCAGACAUGAGCAAAAAAAAAAAAAAUCACACAUUCCAACAGAUAC